This 303-nucleotide ribosomal RNA is filed under the name uncultured bacterium. Its description in RNAcentral is "partial 16S ribosomal RNA". It matches the Rfam family "Bacterial small subunit ribosomal RNA", at positions 507 to 809 of the family's 1533-position model. The record is from RNAcentral.
AGCAGCCGCCGCGGGAAUACAGAGGGUGCAAGCGUUAAUCGGAAUUACUGGGCGUAAAGCGCGCGUAGGUGGUUUGUUAAGUUGGAUGUGAAAUCCCCGGGCUCAACCUGGGAACUGCAUCCAAAACUGGCAAGCUAGAGUAUGGUAGAGGGUGGUGGAAUUUCCUGUGUAGCGGUGAAAUGCGUAGAUAUAGGAAGGAACACCAGUGGCGAAGGCGACCACCUGGACUGAUACUGACACUGAGGUGCGAAAGCGUGGGGAGCAAACAGGAUUAGAUACCCGUGUAGUCCCUGUCUCUUAUAA